GAACACGCAGGUUCCAUUUUGUUAGUCACGGGGAUGUUCUCCAUGAUUUUGAGUUUUGUUUUAGUCAUCAGAUCAAUCAGAAUGGAAAAACUCAAAUUAGUUCUCACAUCAACCGCGAUUGCAAAACUCAAAUUACGGAGUAGGGAAAACUGAGAAACCGAAUUGCGAACGAGAUUAGAGAGAGAAACGGGAACAAAAACUCUUGAGUUUCUCAUUUGAGUUGCCUAGAGAAUUCUCCAAAGUCUUAAUAGAAUCAUAAAUUAGAGGAAUUGGAUGGUUUCAUGAUGAUGAUUCUGGAUUUCAAGAUGUGUACAUUACUAAAAUUUGGGUUGAUCACUAUAUCUAGAUGGUUUCAUGAUGAUGAUUCUGGAUUUCAAGAUGUGCAUAUUAAGAGAUAUGGGUUGAUCACUGCUCUGGAUGGAUUCUUGGGGGUUGAUUGGAUACCAGAAUGUCCAGACUAACAAAGAUCAGAGAUGUCUCUCAAGUGCACCUCAACAAUCAUUAUUAUUGGAUCUCCUAAGAAGAAUUUGGUGAUGAAUUUCACCGAUGUCUCAAAUUCAUUGGAAGCAUUCGUGAAAGCCAAACAGGUUUGAAUCUCCAAAUUUAUUUUGAUUUGUUGGCUUUUUGUUUGGGAUUUGGUUUGUUUUCAUUGAGAAUCUGAGCAUUUCAUUUUAAAAAUUAGAGCCAGCUUAGUGUUGAUUGGUUUGUCUUCAGUUGCAUAUUUACCAUCAAUGUGUUUUUUUUGGGAGACACAUAGAACUAUCUAGUGUUCAAUUUGUAGUUCAUGAUUUCGGGAUCGAAGCAGCAACAAGGUUCUUUCUUUCGUACCUAGAAUUCAAUCAUGCAUGCAUGUCUUUUAAUAUCAAGUUUCAGUAGUUUGGUCUUCAAAAUCAUGUCUCUUAUUAUACUGCUUCACAAUCCAAACCAUUUCAGAAUGUAUGAAGCAGUACAAAGUUUUAUAUCUGCAUUAAAAUUUAGCACCAGUGAUUCCAUGUCCCCUCUGUAAGUUUUGAACACUUAAUUUACAUCUUUUUAACUCAUGAUUUCCAUCGAAUUUAGACACUUCAUUUCUUUUCCAGUGUCUAAGCAGCAUUGGUUUUCAUAUAAGUAGUUGGACCUGAUGCAGUUGAUUCAGAGCAAAGAAUGGAAACAAACAUAUACAGUAAGUCACUUUUUAUCCUUUUACAUCCCAUAAUAUUAACCACUUCUUUUUUUUUAAAAAAAACCCAUUGGUUCUGGCCAACUUCCAUGCUAAAAAUUGACCUUCAUGGUUCAACAUUUUGUUUGUUGGGUGUUUUUUCUGAAAUCGAUACUUCGCGUAAGGUUUGAAACUCUUCUUACCAUGUUUAUUGGUAUUUCGGAGAAAAACAUUACUCAUCGCACUUAAUUGCAGUCUUUACCAAACUGCGGUGGUCAUUUGUGAUCCAGUCCAUUUUUUUCCAUGAUGUGCAGCUCAUCUUAGAAUUAAGUAGCCAUCAGUUUUAUCCUUUCUCUUUCUCUGCUUCUUCGGAGAUUAUGUCGCACUGUUCAGUCAUAAUUUGCGCCUUAUGUAAGUUUUUCAUUCACAUUAAUUUAACAUCAAAAUUGUUGGUUUAUUUAUGUUAUGUUCUUAUCUACCCUGAAAUAUUAUGGGUUCUAUCCUCUGCCAAAUUUUUUCCAUCUUCUCCAUGUAAUUGAUUUUGUCCAUGCAGGGUCAGCAAAGGCGACCGUUUUACCACUUUAGGAAGAGACGUCAUGUUGUCCCUUAACCGGGUUCAUGUCUCAUAAUCCUUAACAAAGAUUAUGGUGAACAAACAAAGAAUGAUGAAAACACUUAAGCUAUCUACCAACUCGGCGACGGCAAUGCAUAUUAAAUGAAAUAGGCCGAGGUCCUACCGAAAGACGGAUCCGACCCUGUAGUUUUCAAAACCGUUCCAGAUGUUCACGAAAAUUCUCAACAAACAUGACAUAAGCAUUCCAUAUUGGGCUCUUUUAAUACCAAUAGUUGACUCAUGGGGUGAAUGGGAUUUCUUUGGUUGCAUUUAUCUAAGAUGUUAGUAAAAUCAGCUGCACAACACCCGGAUCAAUUAGGCUGAUCAUUUGUAAGUAGUGCAUGAAUCAAAUGUGAAGUGUGACCCUCAUAACAGUUCUUAAGUCUCUUUGGGUAUAUAUAUUUGUCCUACGUUAUGUGUACCUACAUGCGGCAACACAGUACGUAUAUUCUAAUGUUUAUCGUGAUAUGUGUACUAAGUUCAGCAUCAUUCAUCGUUUACAUCAUCAA
This is a long non-coding RNA of Papaver somniferum (opium poppy), 2260 nucleotides long. RefSeq lists it as uncharacterized. The transcript is spliced from 6 exons. NCBI's taxonomy places the organism in Eukaryota, Viridiplantae, Streptophyta, Magnoliopsida, Ranunculales, Papaveraceae. The record is from RefSeq and is a predicted model, not a curated record.